RNAcentral lists this ribosomal RNA (475 nucleotides) under uncultured organism. RNAcentral describes it as "partial 16S ribosomal RNA". It matches the Rfam family "Bacterial small subunit ribosomal RNA", at positions 333 to 799 of the family's 1533-position model. The record is from RNAcentral.
ACACUCCUGCGGGAGGCAGCAGUGGGGAAUUUUGGACAAUGGGCGAAAGCCUGAUCCAGCAAUGCCGCGUGAGUGAAGAAGGCCUUCGGGUUGUAAAGCUCUUUUGUCAGGGAAGAAACGGUGAGAGCUAAUAUCUUUUGCUAAUGACGGUACCUGAAGAAUAAGCACCGGCUAACUACGUGCCAGCAGCCGCGGUAAUACGUAGGGUGCAAGCGUUAAUCGGAAUUACUGUGCGUACAGCGUGCGCAGGCGGUUUUGUAAGUCUGAUGUGAAAUCCCCGGGCUCAACCUGGGAAUUGCAUUGGAGACUGCAAGGCUAGAAUCUGGCAGAGGGGGGUAGAAUUCCACGUGUAGCAGUGAAAUGCGUAGAUAUGUGGAGGAACACCGAUGGCGAAGGCAGCCCCCUGGGUCAAGAUUGACGCUCAUGCACGAAAGCGUGGGGAGCAAACAGGAUUAGAAACCCGGGUAGUCCCAUG